This is a long non-coding RNA of Passer domesticus (house sparrow), 629 nucleotides long. RefSeq lists it as uncharacterized. The record is from RefSeq and is a predicted model, not a curated record. The transcript has 3 exons. Lineage: Eukaryota; Metazoa; Chordata; Aves; Passeriformes; Passeridae.
UUCAGUUUUGAACCAGUCUAACCAGUAUUUCACCUUCUUGUAGAAAGACUAAUAUGAAAAUUGUCAUGAUGCUGAAAAUAAUAAAGGACACAAUAAAGUAGGAAGAGCACCUGCACUAAACCAAACCCACUGAGUUCAAGUUGUAUUUCAAACAGGCUUUGAAUGCUCAUCUAGUGAGAUGAGCUACUCAGCCUUCUCCUUGAAAGUAAAUCUCCAAGGGAAAAAAUGCUGCUCUACAGAGAGAAGAAAUUAUGCCUGUGAACUUGUGGUUCUUCUCUUCUCUAUGGUCUGCUAUCAUGUCUCAUUCCCUAUGAUUCUCCUCAGACCUGAGUUCAUGGCAAGGUUUCCCAGCCACAGCCAUUCUCUUGUGCUCCUGCCUGUCUGCCACCAGUGCAUGGGUGUGUUUUUCCAAAGGACAUUGGUGCAAAGCUGCCUCAACUGGGAUGUAAAGGAGAUGGCACUCCAUGAAAUCACAGGCAGAAGCGUCAGUUGUGUCCUGAGAGCACUUUAAUCAGUGGGGAACAGCCUGACCAACACUGCACCAUACCAGCACUUACUCUGGGGCUUAUUCUAAAAUGUUAAGCUGAUUUCCACUGCAUGAUAUGGAUAUAUUUGGGAUAUAUUCUGGG